This 156-nucleotide unclassified non-coding RNA is filed under the name Candida dubliniensis. Its description in RNAcentral is "internal transcriber spacer 2". The record is from RNAcentral. Lineage: Eukaryota; Fungi; Ascomycota; Pichiomycetes; Serinales; Debaryomycetaceae.
CUCCCUCAAACCCCUAGGGUUUGGUGUUGAGCAAUACGACUUGGGUUUGCUUGAAAGAUGAUAGUGGUAUAAGGCGGAGAUGCUUGACAAUGGCUUAGGUGUAACCAAAAACAUUGCUAAGGCGGUCUCUGGCGUCGCCCAUUUUAUUCUUCAAAC